AAAAAAAGAAGAAGAAAAAAAAACACAAAAAA
Molecule: small RNA, 32 nt
Filed under: Arabidopsis thaliana (thale cress)
Lineage: Eukaryota; Viridiplantae; Streptophyta; Magnoliopsida; Brassicales; Brassicaceae
Description: ATSL013030
Source: RNAcentral